AGAUUGAACGCUGGCGGCAUGCCUUACACAUGCAAGUCGAACGCGAAAGUAGGGGGCAACCCCUGCGAGUAGAGUGGCGAACGGGUGAGUAAUACAUCGGAACGUGUCCAGUAGCGGGGGGAUAACUUCUCGAAAGAGAAGCUAAUACCGCAUACGACCUACGGGUGAAAGGGGGGGAUCGCAAGACCUCUCACUAUUGGAGCGGCCGAUGUCGGAUUAGCUAGUUGGCGGGGUAAAAGCCCACCAAGGCGACGAUCCGUAGCUGGUCUGAGAGGACGGCCAGCCACACUGGAACUGAGACACGGUCCAGACUCCUACGGGAGGCAGCAGUGGGAAUUUGGACAAGUGGGCGAAAGCCUGAUCCAGCCAUGCCGCGUGAGUGAAGAAGGCCUUCGGGUUGUAAAGCUCGUUCGGCGGGACGAAAGGUCUAGUAUUAACACUGCAGAUCAGUGACGGUACCCGACAGAAGAAGCGACCGACUAACUACGUGACCAGCAGCCGACGGUAAUC
Molecule: ribosomal RNA, 510 nt
Filed under: uncultured soil bacterium
Lineage: Bacteria
Description: bacterial SSU rRNA
Rfam family: Bacterial small subunit ribosomal RNA
Source: RNAcentral